GGGAAACUUACCAGGUCCAGACAUGGGAAGGAUUGACAGAUUGAUAGCUCUUUCUUGAUUCUAUGGGUGGUGGUGCAUGGCCGUUCCUAGUUCGUGGAUUGAUUUGUCUGGUUGAUUCCGUUAACGAGCGAGAUCUUAACCUACUAAAUAGGUCGUUAAAGUUCGCUUUAAUAGUACCUUCUUAGAGGGACAUUGCGUGUUUAACGCAAGGAAGUUUGAGGUAAUAA
Molecule: ribosomal RNA, 227 nt
Filed under: uncultured eukaryote
Lineage: Eukaryota
Description: partial 18S ribosomal RNA
Rfam family: Eukaryotic small subunit ribosomal RNA
Source: RNAcentral